This 479-nucleotide ribosomal RNA is filed under the name uncultured bacterium. RNAcentral's name for it is "bacterial SSU rRNA". It matches the Rfam family "Bacterial small subunit ribosomal RNA", at positions 25 to 523 of the family's 1533-position model. The record is from RNAcentral.
CAGCGCGAACGUUGGCGGCGUGCCUAACACAUGCAAGUCGUGGGGCAGCAGGCUACUGUCUUUUGGCAGUAGUGCUGGCGACCGGCAAACGGGUGAGUAACACGUAGCUUACCUACCCAUAGGUUGGGGAUAACAUCCCGAAAGGGGUGCUAAUACCCAAUAAUGAGGAGACUCCAAAGUCCUUAUGGGCGCCUAUGGAUGGGGCUGCGUCCCAUCAGCUAGUUGGUGAGGUAAUGGCUCACCAAGGCUACGACGGGUAACCGGUCUGAGAGGAUGACCGGUCACAGUGGGACUGAGACACGGCCCGCACCCCUACGGGGGGCAGCAGUGGGGAAUAUUGGGCAAUGGCCGAAAGGCUGACCCAGCAACGCCGCGUGGUGGAUGAAGCCCUUCGGGGUGUAAACACCUUUUCUGGGGGAAGAUAAUGACGGUACCCCAGGAAUAAGGGACGGCUAACUACGUGCCAGCAGCCGCGGUAA